GACGAACGCUGGCGGCGUGCUUAACACAUGCAAGUCGCACGGUAAGGCCCUUUCGGGGGUACACGAGUGGCGAACGGGUGAGUAACACGUGAGUAACCUGCCCACAACUUUGGGAUAACGCUAGGAAACUGGUGCUAAUACUGGAUAUGUGCUCCUGCUGCAUGGUGGGGGUUGGAAAGCUCCGGCGGUUGUGGAUGGACUCGCGGCCUAUCAGCUUGUUGGUGGGGUAGUGGCCUACCAAGGCGGCGACGGGUAGCCGGCCUGAGAGGGUGACCGGCCACAUUGGGACUGAGAUACGGCCCAGACUCCUACGGGAGGCAGCAGUGGGGAAUAUUGCACAAUGGGCGCAAGCCUGAUGCAGCAACGCCGCGUGCGGGAUGACGGCCUUCGGGUUGUAAACCGCUUUCAGCAGGGACGAAGCUUUUUGUGACGGUACCUGCAGAAGAAGCACCGGCUAACUACGUG
RNAcentral lists this ribosomal RNA (465 nucleotides) under uncultured bacterium. RNAcentral's name for it is "partial 16S ribosomal RNA". It matches the Rfam family "Bacterial small subunit ribosomal RNA", at positions 28 to 507 of the family's 1533-position model. The record is from RNAcentral.